RNAcentral lists this ribosomal RNA (396 nucleotides) under uncultured bacterium. RNAcentral's name for it is "partial 16S ribosomal RNA". It matches the Rfam family "Bacterial small subunit ribosomal RNA", at positions 524 to 918 of the family's 1533-position model. The record is from RNAcentral.
UACGUAGGUGACAAGCGUUAUCCGGAUUUACUGGGCGUAAAGGGCGUGUAGGCGGUCUUGCAAGUCAGAAGUGAAAUUCCUGAGCUCAACUCGGGCGCUGCUUCUGAAACUGCAGGACUUGAGUGCUGGAGGGGAUAGCGGAAUUCCUAGUGGAGCGGUAAAAUGCGCAGAUUUUAGGAAGAACACCGGUGGCGAAGGCGACUUUCGAGACUGGUUCUGAGUAUCUAAUCCGAGAGCCAAGGUAGGGACCGGGGUUAUAACCCCGGGGUGUCCUGGCCGUACACGGUGGGUACUAGGUGUGGGAGGUAUCGAGUCCUCCCUCGCUUGAGUUAAGGCAAUAAGGACUCCGCCUGGGGAGUACGGCCGCAAGGCUUAAACUCAAAGUAAUUGACGGGA